Molecule: unclassified non-coding RNA, 285 nt
Filed under: plant metagenome
Description: partial contains small subunit ribosomal RNA, internal transcribed spacer 1, and 5.8S ribosomal RNA
Rfam family: Eukaryotic small subunit ribosomal RNA (bases 1-54)
Source: RNAcentral
GGAAGUAAAAGUCCUAACAAGGUUUCCGUAGGUGAACCUGCGGAAGGAUCAUUAUUGUAUAACCGAGGUGCGAGGGCUGUCGCUGACCCGAAAGGUCGUGCACGUCCGAGUGCCCUCACACACAUCCAUCUCACCCCUAUGUGCACCACCGCGUGGGUCCCCCUUUGGCUUGUUCGGAGGGGGGCUUACGUUUUCACACAAACUUUGUAUGCAGUGUAGAAUGUAUUUUUUGUUUUUGCGAUCACGCAAUCAAUACAACUUUCAACAACGGAUCUCUUGGCUCUC